RNAcentral lists this ribosomal RNA (228 nucleotides) under uncultured bacterium. RNAcentral's name for it is "partial 16S ribosomal RNA". It matches the Rfam family "Bacterial small subunit ribosomal RNA", at positions 109 to 339 of the family's 1533-position model. The record is from RNAcentral.
AGUAACACGUGGGCAACCUGCCCCUCACAUUGGGAUAACCCCGGGAAACCGGAGCUAAUACCAAAUAUGACCUUGAUAGGCAUCUAUCGAGGUGUAAAGGAUUCUGGUGAGGGAUGGGCCCGCGGCCUAUCAGUUAGUUGGUGAGGUAACGGCUCACCAAGGCGACGACGGGUAGCCGGCCUGAGAGGGCGAUCGGCCACACUGGAACUGAGACACGGUCCAGACUCC